Cyprinus carpio (common carp) is the source of this 203-nucleotide long non-coding RNA. The record is from Ensembl. NCBI's taxonomy places the organism in Eukaryota, Metazoa, Chordata, Actinopteri, Cypriniformes, Cyprinidae.
UUGGUAACUAAUUUUUUGUUCCCAUUAAUGUAACCCACCAUUGCUAGGUCUGAGCUCACUAGGGCACCAUUUGUUGUAGAAAAGGAACCUCUACGAAUUUCACAAGUACCGAGCCAUUGGAGAACCACACAACUGUAAUGAAAACGGGAAUUCUUGAAAUAGAAGCCCAGAACUGAUCCUGGACUUUGGCAGACCUGCAUCCC